Molecule: transfer RNA, 77 nt
Filed under: Pseudogulbenkiania subflava DSM 22618
Lineage: Bacteria; Pseudomonadati; Pseudomonadota; Betaproteobacteria; Neisseriales; Chromobacteriaceae
Also listed under: 2 other names
Description: tRNA_Met_CAT
Rfam family: tRNA
About the family: Transfer RNA (tRNA) molecules are approximately 80 nucleotides in length. Their secondary structure includes four short double-helical elements and three loops (D, anti-codon, and T loops).
Source: RNAcentral
GGGCCUUUAGCUCAGUCGGUUAGAGCAGAGGACUCAUAAUCCUUUGGUCGCGGGUUCGAGCCCCGCAGGGCCCACCA